GACGACGCUGGCGGCGUGCUUAAAACAUGCAAGUCGAACGGACUUCUCAUGAAGCUUGCGAUUGAGAAGUUAGUGGCGGACGGGUGAGUAACGCGUGGGCAACCUGCCCCUGAGCCCGGGAUAACAGUUCGAAAGGACUGCUAAGACCGGAUAUACUUGCGGGGAAGCAUUUCACUGCAAGGAAAGGGAACGCUCAGGGAUGGGCCCGCGUCCCAUUAGCUAGUUGGUGAGGUAACGGCCCACCAAGGCGACGAUGGGUAGCCGGCCUGAGAGGGUGAACGGCCACACUGGGACUGAGACACGGCCCAGACUCCUACGGGAGGCAGCAGUUGGGAAUCUUCGGCAAUGGGCGCAAGCCUGACCGAGCAACGCCGCGUGAGCGAUGAAGGUUUUCGGAUUGUAAAGCUCUGUCUUCCGGGACGAUAAUGACGGUACCGGAGGAGGAAGCCACGGCUAACUACGUG
Molecule: ribosomal RNA, 464 nt
Filed under: uncultured bacterium
Lineage: Bacteria
Description: bacterial SSU rRNA
Rfam family: Bacterial small subunit ribosomal RNA
Source: RNAcentral